This 1225-nucleotide ribosomal RNA is filed under the name metagenome. RNAcentral's name for it is "bacterial LSU rRNA". It matches the Rfam family "Bacterial large subunit ribosomal RNA", at positions 1713 to 2925 of the family's 2925-position model. The record is from RNAcentral.
UAUUGCCCCCCCCCCGUAACUUCGGGAGAAGGGGUGCCCUUCGACGUGAAAGUUAAUCUUGAGCGUUGAGGGGUCGCAGUGAAAUGGCUCUAGUGACUGGUUAACAAAACCACAGGUCUCUGCAAAGCCGAAAGGCGAUGUAUAGGGGCUGACACCUGCCCAGUGCCGGAAGGUUAAAGGGAGAGGUUAGGCGCAAGCCGAAGCUUUGAACUGAAGCCCCGGUGAACGGCGGCCGUAACUAUAACGGUCCUAAGGUAGCGAAAUUCCUUGUCGGGUAAGUUCCGACCCGCACGAACGGUGUAACAACUAGAGCACUGUCUCAACGAGGGACCCGGCGAAAUUGAAAUGGCUGUGAAGAUGCGGCCUACCCGCAGCAGGACAAAAAGACCCCGUGGAGCUUUACUGCAUCCUGGCAUUGAGUUUGGGCAAGGUUUGUGUAGGAUAGGUGGGAGGCUGUGAAACUGGAGCGCUAGCUUCGGUGGAGCCGUCGGUGAAAUACCACCCUAACUUUGUUUAGACCCUAACCUCAUUCCGUCAUCCGGAUGAGGGACCGUGCCAGGUGGGCAGUUUGACUGGGGCGGUCGCCUCCUAAAAGGUAACGGAGGCGCCCAAAGGUUCCCUCAGGCAGAAUGGAAACCUGCCAAAGAGUGUAAAGGCAUAAGGGAGCUUGACUGCAAGACCAACGCGUCGAGCAGAGACGAAAGUCGGGCUUAGUGAUCCCACGGUACUGAGUGGAAGGGCCGUGGCUUACCGGAUAAAAGCUACCCCGGGGAUAACAGGCUGGUGAAGUCCAAGAGUCCAUAUCGACGACUUCGCUCGGCACCUCGAUGUCGGCUCAUCGCAUCCUGGGGCUGUAUCAGGUCCCAAGGGUCGGGCUGUUCGCCCGUUAAAGCGGUACGCGAGCUGGGUUCAGACCGUCGUGAGACAGGUCGGUCUCUAUCCGCUGUGGGCGUAAGGGAUUUGAGUGGAGCUGCCCCUAGUACGAGAGGACCGGGGUGGACUGACCGAUGGUGUUCCAGUUGUCGUGCCAACGGCAUCGCUGGGUAGCUAAGUCAGGCAGAGAUAACCGCUGAAUGCAUCUAAGUGGGAAACUCGCCACAAGAUUAGAUCCCUGUUUUCCCGUAAGGGAGUAAGAUCACAGGUAGACUACCUGUUUGAUAGGCAGAAUGUGUAAGCGCAGCAAUGCGUUGAGCUAAUCUGUACUAAUGAUCGAGGGCUUCUUCAU